UACGGAGGGUGCAAGCGUUGUCCGGAUUUAUUGGGUUUAAAGGGUGCGUAGGCGGCCCGUUAAGUCAGUGGUGAAAGCCUCCAGCUCAACUGGAGAACUGCCAUUGAUACUGACGGGCUUGAGUACAGACGAGGUUGGCGGAAUUGAUUGUGUAGCGGUGAAAUGCAUAGAUACAAUCAUGAACUCCGAUUGCGUAGGCAGCUAACUAGGCUGUAACUGACGCUGAGGCACGAAAGCGUGGGGAGCGAACAGG
This 253-nucleotide ribosomal RNA is filed under the name uncultured bacterium. RNAcentral describes it as "partial 16S ribosomal RNA". It matches the Rfam family "Bacterial small subunit ribosomal RNA", at positions 524 to 776 of the family's 1533-position model. The record is from RNAcentral.